Molecule: ribosomal RNA, 479 nt
Filed under: uncultured bacterium
Lineage: Bacteria
Description: partial 16S ribosomal RNA
Rfam family: Bacterial small subunit ribosomal RNA
Source: RNAcentral
GAUGAACGCUGGCGGCGUGCUUAACACAUGCAAGUCGAACGAAGCACUCAAGAUUGAUUCUUCGGAUGACGUCUUUUGUUACUUAGUGGCGGUUGGGUUAGUAACGCCUGGGUGACCUGCCUCACACAGCCGGAUAACAGUUACAAAUCACUGCUAUUACCGCUUAACCUGAUCGCAUCGUAUGAUCCCUACGUGAAAGAUUUAUCGGUGUGGGAUGGGCCCGCGUCGGAUUAGCUAGUUGGUGAGGUAACGGCCCACCAAGGCGACGAUCAGUAGCGGGCCUGAGAGGAUGAACGGCCACAUUGGGACUGAGACACGGCCCAGACUCCUACGGGAGGCAGCAGUGGGGAAUAUUGCACAAUGGGCGAAACCCUGAUGCAGCGACGCCGCGUGAGUGAAGAAGUAUUUAGGGAUGUAAAGCUCUAUCAGCAGGGAAGAAAAUGACAGUACCGGGCGAAGAAGCCCCGGCUAACUACGUG